Molecule: non-coding RNA, 101 nt
Organism: Acanthosepion pharaonis
Lineage: Eukaryota; Metazoa; Mollusca; Cephalopoda; Sepiida; Sepiidae
Source: the annotation of a GenBank genome assembly
ACGCUGAAAACACCGGUUCUCGUUCGAUCACCGAAGUUAAGCAUCGUAGAGCCAGGUCAGUACUUAGAUGGGGACCGCUUGGGAACACCUGGUACUGUAAG